This 1442-nucleotide ribosomal RNA is filed under the name Lactiplantibacillus plantarum. RNAcentral's name for it is "bacterial SSU rRNA". It matches the Rfam family "Bacterial small subunit ribosomal RNA". The record is from RNAcentral. Lineage: Bacteria; Bacillati; Bacillota; Bacilli; Lactobacillales; Lactobacillaceae.
UGCAAGUCGAACGAACUCUGGUAUUGAUUGGUGCUUGCAUCAUGAUUUACAUUUGAGUGAGUGGCGAACUGGUGAGUAACACGUGGGAAACCUGCCCAGAAGCGGGGGAUAACACCUGGAAACAGAUGCUAAUACCGCAUAACAGCUUGGACCGCAUGGUCCGAGUUUGAAAGAUGGCUUCGGCUAUCACUUUUGGAUGGUCCCGCGGCGUAUUAGCUAGAUGGUGGGGUAACGGCUCACCAUGGCAAUGAUACGUAGCCGACCUGAGAGGGUAAUCGGCCACAUUGGGACUGAGACACGGCCCAAACUCCUACGGGAGGCAGCAGUAGGGAAUCUUCCACAAUGGACGAAAGUCUGAUGGAGCAACGCCGCGUGAGUGAAGAAGGGUUUCGGCUCGUAAAACUCUGUUGUUAAAGAAGAACAUAUCUGAGAGUAACUGUUCAGGUAUUGACGGUAUUUAACCAGAAAGCCACGGCUAACUACGUGCCAGCAGCCGCGGUAAUACGUAGGUGGCAAGCGUUGUCCGGAUUUAUUGGGCGUAAAGCGAGCGCAGGCGGUUUUUUAAGUCUGAUGUGAAAGCCUUCGGCUCAACCGAAGAAGUGCAUCGGAAACUGGGAAACUUGAGUGCAGAAGAGGACAGUGGAACUCCAUGUGUAGCGGUGAAAUGCGUAGAUAUAUGGAAGAACACCAGUGGCGAAGGCGGCUGUCUGGUCUGUAACUGACGCUGAGGCUCGAAAGUAUGGGUAGCAAACAGGAUUAGAUACCCUGGUAGUCCAUACCGUAAACGAUGAAUGCUAAGUGUUGGAGGGUUUCCGCCCUUCAGUGCUGCAGCUAACGCAUUAAGCAUUCCGCCUGGGGAGUACGGCCGCAAGGCUGAAACUCAAAGGAAUUGACGGGGGCCCGCACAAGCGGUGGAGCAUGUGGUUUAAUUCGAAGCUACGCGAAGAACCUUACCAGGUCUUGACAUACUAUGCAAAUCUAAGAGAUUAGACGUUCCCUUCGGGGACAUGGAUACAGGUGGUGCAUGGUUGUCGUCAGCUCGUGUCGUGAGAUGUUGGGUUAAGUCCCGCAACGAGCGCAACCCUUAUUAUCAGUUGCCAGCAUUAAGUUGGGCACUCUGGUGAGACUGCCGGUGACAAACCGGAGGAAGGUGGGGAUGACGUCAAAUCAUCAUGCCCCUUAUGACCUGGGCUACACACGUGCUACAAUGGAUGGUACAACGAGUUGCGAACUCGCGAGAGUAAGCUAAUCUCUUAAAGCCAUUCUCAGUUCGGAUUGUAGGCUGCAACUCGCCUACAUGAAGUCGGAAUCGCUAGUAAUCGCGGAUCAGCAUGCCGCGGUGAAUACGUUCCCGGGCCUUGUACACACCGCCCGUCACACCAUGAGAGUUUGUAACACCCAAAGUCGGUGGGGUAACCUUUUAGGAACCAGCCGCCUAAGGU